GGGAAGCGGGUCUGGCUGACGUGCCGGGCCUGGGCGAGGUGAACGUCCAGGGAUCCGAGCUCGGUCCCGUGCCUUGGCCUCCCGCGGAUCUUCCUUGCUGCGAGGCUUCCGUGGCGGCGCGAGCCGUCGUGGUCGUCCUCUUCGGCCGCCAUUCAACGCUCAGCUCAGAACUGGCACGGACUAGGGGAAUCCGACUGUCUAAUUAAAACAAAGCAUUGCGAUGGCCCUCGCGGGUGUUGACGCAAUGUGAUUUCUGCCCAGUGCUCUGAAUGUCAACGUGAAGAAAUUCAAGCAAGCGCGGGUAAACGGCGGGAGUAACUAUGACUCUCUUAAGGUAGC
This 339-nucleotide ribosomal RNA is filed under the name Diacamma sp. Okinawa-2006a. RNAcentral describes it as "eukaryotic LSU rRNA". It matches the Rfam family "Eukaryotic large subunit ribosomal RNA", at positions 1956 to 2283 of the family's 3401-position model. Lineage: Eukaryota; Metazoa; Arthropoda; Insecta; Hymenoptera; Formicidae. The record is from RNAcentral.